Molecule: long non-coding RNA, 1662 nt
Filed under: Prunus dulcis (almond)
Lineage: Eukaryota; Viridiplantae; Streptophyta; Magnoliopsida; Rosales; Rosaceae
Description: sRNA ncRNA
Source: RNAcentral
CAGAUUCUGAAAUUUUCUCGAACCUUCUUAAAUUUUAAUAAUUAAUUUUACGCCGAAGUGGAAACAGAUGUGGAUCCAGGGCAGCCGAACUCGCAGAAGGAAGGUAAUCUCAAAAGACACAGUACAGACGGCUUGUUUGUGAAUUUCCAAUAUGAUUCAAAUGAGAAAAUACAUGUCUGGCUUUAAAUUGUAUGUGCUCAUUUUGUGUCAGAUUUCAACGCGGAUCGAACCAGAAACCAAUGGCGUUGAUCAAGAAAUUGCGAAAGGGGCGGUAAGCGAUUUAAUUCGACAUUGGCAAUGGAAUUUAAUUUACAAUAUAAAUGGUGGAAUAGUAUGCAAAGCUAUCAGUUUCUGAAUUAGCUUCAUCUUUUAGAUUUAACAUUGUGUUAUUUCAACAAGUUUGUUUGGUUGGAUUCAUUAUCUGUGUCUAAUGUUCAAAAUUAUAAGUGCCUUUGUAAACUUUUCUUUAGAGUUUAUUCUGUUUUUUCUUGUGCGACAUCUGCUUGCCCCUUGCUGAUUGUAUAGCCGUUGGCUAAAUUACGGUAGUCGUGUGAUAACAGUAGGGUGGGGUUCUCAGCUUCUUGAUAUGAAAAUUUAAACAUCCUUAGCUUAGGCCUGAGGGGUUUUCUGAAGACCCUUGGUUUUGUUCUCUUGUUAACUGCCGCGCUAGGACACUGCGACUGAUUUUCAAAAAGCAUACCGAUUCACUGUAAGAGGCUAAUGUGAGUUGCACAAGAGGUAGACAUAAUAAGGAAAGUAGAAAGCUGCACUUGGAAACUGGUUCUAAAUGAAUGAAUAUUGUAGUUUGGCAAAUCAUCACAGGUUCUUCUUCUCAAAGGCAUUGAUUUUCUAAUCUUGUUAACAGGGGACAAUGUUCUUUAUCUGCCUUGUUAUUGUCAGUGAUCAUGCUACUUGUUAUUCUAAGAAUAUGAUAGAUAUGGCAUGAGUGGUCCUCGAAUAACAUAAACCUGUGUGGUGAGUGGAUGCUGGAACUUCAUAAAGAGUAUAGAUGAACUCAAUUUACUUUGCACUGCCACCAUGUUUGUUUCUUGUAAGUUGAACUUCAUGUAGUUUGCAUUGCUACCAAUACUAUAGAAAGUUGUGUUGUAAGCUGAAAUAGUACGAGAUUAUUUUGGAAACUUGUGAUCGUGAUGAACUAAAAAGGUUAUUAUGUUUUCUCUUUGUCAAUUUCUAUGCUCGAAACAGAAGCAAGAGGCACAACCUGGUGAGAAGCCAGAGAGCUAGUUUGGACUCUCCUGCGCAACAUGAUCAUUGUACCGGAGAUGAUUUGUAGCAUCAUUACAAUGGCAAAACCUUCAAUCAAGUUAAAACCAGGCCUGAAAUGAUUGGCCACUAUCUAGCUGAGUUCUCAAUCAGUUACAAGCCUGUCAAGCAUGGAAGCUCCCCUGGUAUUGAUGCUACUCAUUCCUCCAGGUUCACUCCUCUCAAGUAACAAUAUUUUACACAUUUCUUCACUCUACACUUAAUAGCAGUCGUAUCGUUAUAUUUUCUGAAAUCUGCUCAAUUAUUGCUUAAAUAAUGUAAGCCUGUGUGAUCACAUCUCAAAUGCACAGAUUAUAAUCAAUGAAAUUGAAAAUGAGCUUAUAUUAUGGUAGGUUUCAACUCAGUUUGGUUUGAUGUCAUGGUGUUUACAAUGCUGGU